UCGCCUCAAAUCAGGUAGGACUACCCGCUGAACUUAA
This 37-nucleotide ribosomal RNA is filed under the name Agaricus sp. F2467. Its description in RNAcentral is "partial 28S ribosomal RNA". The record is from RNAcentral. Lineage: Eukaryota; Fungi; Basidiomycota; Agaricomycetes; Agaricales; Agaricaceae.